Long non-coding RNA from Gallus gallus (chicken), 1367 nucleotides. RefSeq lists it as uncharacterized. The record is from RefSeq and is a predicted model, not a curated record. Lineage: Eukaryota; Metazoa; Chordata; Aves; Galliformes; Phasianidae. The transcript is spliced from 2 exons.
GUUAACUAAUCAAGUACAACACAAAGGGAGAUCAACCACUUUUACAGCUGAUCUUUUGAACUACUGCUGGAACCUUCUUCCAUCAAUAUGAAGAACUGAACUUCCUUGCGUAGUAGACUGUGGUGUUUGGUUGCUGAUAAGUUCUAGUACAGUGAAAUCCCCAAGUUUUGUUGUCCUACACAGUUCUUUAGUGCUUAUGUGCUCUCAAAUACCCUGGCAGUCCUGGCUGAUUGUAAGGAGUCUGCCAAUAAACUAAUUUCUGCUUCAGAGUUAUGCUGAUAGUACAUCAUGAAAUGCUGGCAUGCCCCCAAGUUCAGGUUUAUAUUCUCUGAGUCAGCCUACCUGGUAAGUGUACCUGCUACCCACCAGUUCCGGGAGGCUGGUUCUGGAAUUGCUUACAGUCAGAUGGAGGGGAAAUAUCUCUGAGGAAACCAUAGCAGUUGAACACAAUCACAAAUGGAAUAGGAGACCUUGCUGCAGCAUUGCUAUGAGACAAAGGAGACUUCCUCUUGCAAAUGGAAGACAAAGCUGCAGUCCUUCUACAGCCCUGGUAUGGGAUAUCAACACCAGCCUGUGCUUCUCACAUGAGGAAGGCAUGGGUUGACUAAUCACUUCAAAAGCUUAAUGCAGAAGAACCUUUCUGGGACUUCUAGAGGAGGAACUGGACCUGGUUAUUAAUCCCCAGAGACCAACUGUAUCAAAAACAUGGAGUGCUUGCAGUUCUGCAGUGGAAACAGGAUUCAUGUUUCUGGUAAGCUGUCCCUCAAGACACUGCCAACGAUCAACAAGCUGGAAAGAAGACUGAAAAAGGCAGUAGUAGCCUAAAAGUGGAUGUUUCCUGAGGAUGAGAAGCUGAAAGAUAGGGUUGCCUAGGAAGGCUUUAACUCUAUUUCCAGGCAUGCAGUGGCCUGGAAACUCUCAAGAAGGGACUUGCUGUGAUGUGGGGUCUUUAAACAGGGAGAGGUGAAGUCUGUUAUAUAGGCAAGUACUGCAAACAAAUAUACUUGGUGUAAUACAGAGCUUGGUGUACAUUUGUACCUUCAUCUGUGUGAGCAUAGGAGGCUCAGCUUCAAGGAUCAAAGCUAGAGUCAAGCCUUGAAGCUGACUUGCUGGUAAUCCUUAAUCAAUUUCUGGUGGGUAUCAGGAGGAAAUGCUGCUCACAGUAACUGAGCUGUUGUGUGAUAGCUGAGAGCUAGAAAGUUUCGUCUGUCCUACUGCUUGAUUCCUGUUGCUCGGUGGAAGUAAGCAUUAUGCUUUGAGGAGAAUAAAAGUUUUCACAAAGUAGAGUUGACUCUCAUUCCUAGCCAGCAAAACAUCCCCUACUUCUGUAAGUCAUUCUUGGAAUAACAAUAAAAUGUUGUAUAUAA